GUUAGGGAGCUACAUACCAUAUGCCGGUAGAAACAAAUUGAUGCUUCAAGGUCACUGUUCUGCCAAAUUCUGUGUGGACCUUCCUAAGCUAUCACCCAGUUUGUGUCUCUGCAGCACUCCUCCAACAGUAUCUUCCCUGGAUACUUUCACUAUCAAUAAGAAAACAGUGUCCUGGAAGAGCACUGGACUCCAUGAAAAUCGCUCUCCUUGUACAGUGAUCUGGAACCUUCUGCAAGUGUGCUAUGAAGGUUUGAAUAUGCUUGACACAUAGAAAGGCCUACUAUUAUGAGAUGCAGAGACCGGGGAGUUAGUGCAGGUCAUCAAAUAAUAGUAAAUGAAGAAUGAAUGAAGUCCAAGAUGUCUAGAGAAAAGAACACAGAUGAACAGAAAAAUCAUGCUCAAGAUUGCCUUUGGAGCUUCCCUGUGAACUACCAGAUAAGGCUGCAGCGGUGAUUUCUCUAGUUCAGAGCUAAGUAGUGCUACUUGACAAUAAAAAGUUUAGGACCUGGAGAUGAAAAGGGAGGGGGAAAAAGCAACCAUGAAUCAAAAUGAACAAGGACUCCUAACCUCUGUCCUUGCUCUGUGGCCCACAUGCCCAGUGUAGACACUAUUGCUACACAGCUGGGCUUUCAAGAGUUGCCUGCCAAUAUUGACAUUACCCCAUCCUAUGUAAGGAAAUCAAGGUGGACUGGUGAACAAUCACUUUCAAAGCUAAUUAUUAAACCUGCAGGUCAGAGCUCUC
This 742-nucleotide long non-coding RNA is filed under the name Mus spretus (western wild mouse). RNAcentral describes it as "lncRNA (ENSMSPG00010021019.1)". Lineage: Eukaryota; Metazoa; Chordata; Mammalia; Rodentia; Muridae. The record is from RNAcentral.